CCUACGGGAGGCAGCAGUGGGGAAUAUUGCACAAUGGGGGAAACCCUGAUGCAGCGACGCCGCGUGAGUGAAGAAGUAUUUCGGUAUGUAAAGCUCUAUCAGCAGGGAAGAAAAAUGACGGUACCUGAGUAAGAAGCACCGGCUAAAUACGUACCAGCAGCCGCGGUAAUACGUAUGGUGCAAGCGUUAUCCGGAUUUACUGGGUGUAAAGGGAGCGCAGGCGGUGCGGCAAGUCUGAUGUGAAAACCCGGGGCCCAACCCCGGGAGUGCAUUGGAAACUGCCAGGCUGGAGUGUCGGAGGGGAA
This 305-nucleotide ribosomal RNA is filed under the name uncultured bacterium. Its description in RNAcentral is "bacterial SSU rRNA". It matches the Rfam family "Bacterial small subunit ribosomal RNA", at positions 338 to 659 of the family's 1533-position model. The record is from RNAcentral.